Molecule: unclassified non-coding RNA, 379 nt
Filed under: uncultured Actinomycetes bacterium
Lineage: Bacteria; Bacillati; Actinomycetota; Actinomycetes
Description: uncultured actinobacterium contains 16S-23S intergenic spacer region
Source: RNAcentral
UCCGAGUUGACCCCGGCAGUCUCCUAUGAGUCCCCACCAUCACGUGCUGGCAACAUGCGGCGGGGGUUGCGCUCGUUGCGGGACCUAACCCAACAUCUCACGACACGAGCUGACGACAACCAUGCACCACCUGUAAACCGGCCACAAGUGGCUGACACAUCUCUGCAUCAUUCCGGUUCAUGUCAAGCCUUGGUAAGGUUCUUCGCGUUGCAUCGAAUUAAUCCGCAUGCUCCGCCGCUUGUGCGGGCCCCCGUCAAUUUCUUUGAGUUUUAGCCUUGCGGCCGUACUCCCCAGGCGGGGUACUUAAUGCGUUAGCUACGGCACGGAUCCCAAGGAAGGAAACCCACACCUAGUACCCACCGUUUACGGCGUGGACUAC